AUUGAACGCUGGCGGCAUGCCUUACACAUGCAAGUCGAACGGCAUCGCGGGAAAGCUUGCUUUCCUGGCGGCGAGUGGCGAACGGGUGAGUAACACAUCGGAACGUACCGGCUAGUGGGGGAUAACCCGUCGAAAGACGGGCUAAUACCGCAAACGCUCUUGGGGGGAAAGAAGGGGACCUUUGGGCCUUGCGCUAGUCGAGCGGCCGAUGUCCGAUUAGCUAGUUGGUGGGGUAAAGGCCUACCAAGGCGACGAUCGGUAGCGGGUCUGAGAGGACGAUCCGCCACACUGGGACUGAGACACGGCCCAGACUCCUACGGGAGGCAGCAGUGGGGAAUCUUGGACAAUGGGGGCAACCCUGAUCCAGCAAUGCCGCGUGGGUGAAGAAGGCCUUCGGGUUGUAAAGCCCUUUCGGCAGGGAAGAAAUCGGCGGGGCGAAUAACCCUGCUGGAUGACGGUACCUGCAGAAGAAGCACCGGCUAACUACGUG
Molecule: ribosomal RNA, 490 nt
Filed under: uncultured bacterium
Lineage: Bacteria
Description: partial 16S ribosomal RNA
Rfam family: Bacterial small subunit ribosomal RNA
Source: RNAcentral